Long non-coding RNA from Ochotona curzoniae (black-lipped pika), 126 nucleotides. RefSeq lists it as uncharacterized. The record is from RefSeq and is a predicted model, not a curated record. The transcript is spliced from 3 exons. Lineage: Eukaryota; Metazoa; Chordata; Mammalia; Lagomorpha; Ochotonidae.
GACUACCCAGACCUAUCUUAGGUGGAACCUGUAGGAUGCUUCAUUGUUGCAGUUUGCUCAGCCAGUUAUUAGUUUACUGCCAGCUCAGUGCAUGCACAGCAGUUUCUUUCUCUGGCCUUUGCCUCC